UACGUAGGGUGCAAGCGUUAAUCGGAAUUACUGGGCGUAAAGCGCGCGUAGGCGGCUUUGCAAGUCGGGUGUGAAAUCCCCAGGCUUAACCUGGGAACUGCAUCCGAGACUGCAUUGCUAGAGUAUGGGAGAGGGAAGUGGAAUUUCAGGUGUAGCGGUGAAAUGCGUAGAUAUCUGAAGGAACAUCAGUGGCGAAAGCGACUUCCUGGACCAAUACUGACGCUCAUGUGCGAAAGCGUGGGGAGCAAACAGG
Molecule: ribosomal RNA, 253 nt
Filed under: uncultured bacterium
Lineage: Bacteria
Description: partial 16S ribosomal RNA
Rfam family: Bacterial small subunit ribosomal RNA
Source: RNAcentral